AGGUGGUUUGUCGCGUUGUUCGUGAAAUGCCACAGCUUAACUGUGGGCGUGCGGGCGAUACGGGCAGACUGGAGUACUGCAGGGGAGACUGGAAUUCCUGGUGUAGCGGUGGAAUGCGCAGAUAUCAGGAGGAACACCGGUGGCGAAGGCGGGUCUCUGGGCAGUAACUGACGCUGAGGAGCGAAAGCGUGGGGAGCGAACAGGAUUAGAUACCCUGGUAGUCCACGCCGUAAACGGUGGGUACUAGGUGUGGGUUUCCUUCCUUGGGAUCCGUGCCGUAGCUAACGCAUUAAGUACCCCGCCUGGGAGUACG
This 313-nucleotide ribosomal RNA is filed under the name uncultured bacterium. RNAcentral describes it as "bacterial SSU rRNA". It matches the Rfam family "Bacterial small subunit ribosomal RNA", at positions 573 to 884 of the family's 1533-position model. The record is from RNAcentral.